ACCUGGUUGGCUCAGUCAGUAGGGCAUGUGACUCUUGAUCUUAGAGUUGUAAGUUUGAGCCCUACAUUGGGGG
This 73-nucleotide transfer RNA is filed under the name Ailuropoda melanoleuca (giant panda). It matches the Rfam family "tRNA". From Rfam's summary of the family: Transfer RNA (tRNA) molecules are approximately 80 nucleotides in length. Their secondary structure includes four short double-helical elements and three loops (D, anti-codon, and T loops). Further hydrogen bonds mediate the characteristic L-shaped molecular structure. tRNAs have two regions of fundamental functional importance: the anti-codon, which is responsible for specific mRNA codon recognition, and the 3' end, to which the tRNAs corresponding amino acid is attached (by aminoacyl-tRNA synthetases). tRNAs cope with the degeneracy of the genetic code in two manners: having more than one tRNA (with a specific anti-codon) for a particular amino acid; and 'wobble' base-pairing, i.e. permitting non-standard base-pairing at the 3rd anti-codon position. The record is from Rfam by way of RNAcentral. Lineage: Eukaryota; Metazoa; Chordata; Mammalia; Carnivora; Ursidae.